AGCAGCCAUCAUUUAAAGAAAGCGUAAUAGCUCACUGGUCGAGUCGGCCUGCGCGGAAGAUGUAACGGGGCUAAACCAUGCACCGAAGCUGCGGCAGCGACACUAUGUGUUGUUGGGUAGGGGAGCGUUCUGUAAGCCUGCGAAGGUGUGCUGUGAGGCAUGCUGGAGGUAUCAGAAGUGCGAAUGCUGACAUAAGUAACGAUAAAGCGGGUGAAAAGCCCGCUCGCCGGAAGACCAAGGGUUCCUGUCCAACGUUAAUCGGGGCAGGGUGAGUCGACCCCUAAGGCGAGGCCGAAAGGCGUAGUCGAUGGGAAACAGGUUAAUAUUCCUGUACUUGGUGUUACUGCGAAGGGGGGACGGAGAAGGCUAUGUUAGCCGGGCGACGGUUGUCCCGGUUUAAGCAUGUAGGCUGGUUAUCCAGGCAAAUCCGGAUAAUCAAGGCUGAGGUGUGAUGACGAGGCACUACGGUGCUGAAGUAACAAAUGCCCUGCUUCCAGGAAAAGCCUCUAAGCAUCAGGUAACAUCAAAUCGUACCCCAAACCGACACAGGUGGUCAGGUAGAGAAUACCAAGGCGCUUGAGAGAACUCGGGUGAAGGAACUAGGCAAAAUGGUGCCGUAACUUCGGGAGAAGGCACGCUGGUGUGUAGGUGAAGUCCCUGCGGAUGGAGCUGAGACCAGUCGAAGAUACCAGCUGGCUGCAACUGUUUAUUAAAAACACAGCACUGUGCAAACACGAAAGUGGACGUAUACGGUGUGACGCCUGCCCGGUGCCGGAAGGUUAAUUGAUGGGGUUAUCCGUAAGGAGAAGCUCUUGAUCGAAGCCCCGGUAAACGGCGGCCGUAACUAUAACGGUCCUAAGGUAGCGAAAUUCCUUGUCGGGUAAGUUCCGACCUGCACGAAUGGCGUAAUGAUGGCCAGGCUGUCUCCACCCGAGACUCAGUGAAAUUGAACUCGCUGUGAAGAUGCAGUGUACCCGCGGCAAGACGGAAAGACCCCGUGAACCUUUACUAUAGCUUGACACUGAACAUUGAGCCUUGAUGUGUAGGAUAGGUGGGAGGCUUUGAAGCGUGGACGCCAGUCUGCGUGGAGCCAACCUUGAAAUACCACCCUUUAAUGUUUGAUGUUCUAACGUUGGCCCCUGACCGGGGUUGCGGACAGUGUCUGGUGGGUAGUUUGACUGGGGCGGUCUCCUCCCAAAGCGUAACGGAGGAGCACGAAGGUUAGCUAAUCCUGGUCGGACAUCAGGAGGUUAGUGCAAUGGCAUAAGCUAGCUUGACUGCGAGCGUGACGGCGCGAGCAGGUGCGAAAGCAGGUCAUAGUGAUCCGGUGGUUCUGAAUGGAAGGGCCAUCGCUCAACGGAUAAAAGGUACUCCGGGGAUAACAGGCUGAUACCGCCCAAGAGUUCAUAUCGACGGCGGUGUUUGGCACCUCGAUGUCGGCUCAUCACAUCCUGGGGCUGAAGUAGGUCCCAAGGGUAUGGCUGUUCGCCAUUUAAAGUGGUACGCGAGCUGGGUUUAGAACGUCGUGAGACAGUUCGGUCCCUAUCUGCCGUGGGCGCUGGAGAAUUGAGGGGGGCUGCUCCUAGUACGAGAGGACCGGAGUGGACGCAUCACUGGUGUUCGGGUUGUCAUGCCAAUGGCACUGCCCGGUAGCUAAAUGCGGAAGAGAUAAGUGCUGAAAGCAUCUAAGCACGAAACUUGCCCCGAGAUGAGUUCUCCCUGAGACUUUAAGUCUCCUGAAGGAACGUUGAAGACGACGACGUUGAUAGGCCGGGUGUGUAAGCGCAGCGAUGCGUUGAGCUAACCGGUACUAAUGAACCGUGAGGCUUAACCUUACAACGCCGAAG
This 1847-nucleotide ribosomal RNA is filed under the name Klebsiella pneumoniae. Its description in RNAcentral is "partial 23S ribosomal RNA". It matches the Rfam family "Bacterial large subunit ribosomal RNA", at positions 1111 to 2925 of the family's 2925-position model. Lineage: Bacteria; Pseudomonadati; Pseudomonadota; Gammaproteobacteria; Enterobacterales; Enterobacteriaceae. The record is from RNAcentral.